RNAcentral lists this ribosomal RNA (301 nucleotides) under uncultured bacterium. Its description in RNAcentral is "partial 16S ribosomal RNA". It matches the Rfam family "Bacterial small subunit ribosomal RNA", at positions 509 to 807 of the family's 1533-position model. The record is from RNAcentral.
CAGCCGCCGCGGGAAUACGAGGGGAGCUAGCGUUGUUCGGAAUUACUGGGCGUAAAGCGCGCGUAGGCGGCUUUUUAAGUCAGAGGUGAAAGCCCGGGGCUCAACCCCGGAAUUGCCUUUGAAACUGGAAAGCUAGAAUCUUGGAGAGGUCAGUGGAAUUCCGAGUGUAGAGGUGAAAUUCGUAGAUAUUCGGAAGAACACCAGUGGCGAAGGCGACUGACUGGACAAGUAUUGACGCUGAGGUGCGAAAGCGUGGGGAGCAAACAGGAUUAGAUACCCCCGUAGUCCCUGUCUCUUAUAC